CAAGUGGUUAGCGCACUUGCCUUUCACCUCUGAGGCUGCAGGUUCGAGUCUCACUAAGUACCUUCUCAGUGCGACUCAAACCCAGUCCCCAUGUGAAAAGAGUAAAAGUCAACGCUCUGCCGAAAGCCGUGGGUUUUCCCCGGGUACUCCGGUUUCCUCCCACAGGGAAAGUUGACAGUGUGGGUUAGGUAAAAAAGGGCCCACAGUAAUUGGCAUAUGCUGUUGUGGUGACCCUGCCCUAGUUGGCAAAAGCUAAAUAAAUAAAUAAAUAAAUAAAUAA
This is a non-coding RNA of Paramuricea clavata, 280 nucleotides long. Lineage: Eukaryota; Metazoa; Cnidaria; Anthozoa; Malacalcyonacea; Plexauridae. The record is from the annotation of a GenBank genome assembly.